AACGAACGCUGGCGGCAGGCCUAACACAUGCAAGUCGAACGCUCGUAGCAAUACGGGAGUGGCAGACGGGGUGCGUAACGCGUGGGAACAUACCCUUUGGGUUCGGAAUAACUCAGGGAAACUUGAGCUAAUACCGGAUACGCCCGAGAGGGGAAAGAUUUAUUGCCGAAGGAUUGGCCCGCGUCUGAUUAGCUAGUUGGUGAGGUAACGGCUCACCAAGGCGACGAUCAGUAGCUGGUCUGAGAGGAUGAUCAGCCACACUGGGACUGAGACACGGCCCAGACUCCUACGGGAGGCAGCAGUGGGGAAUAUUGGGACAAAUGGGCGCAAGCCUGAUCCAGCCAUGCCGCGUGAGUGAUGACGGCCUUAGGGUUGUAAAGCUCUUUUACCCGGGAAGAUAAUGACGGUACCGGGAGAAUAAGCCCCGGCUAACUUCGUGCCAGCAGCCGCGGUAAU
This 456-nucleotide ribosomal RNA is filed under the name uncultured bacterium. RNAcentral's name for it is "bacterial SSU rRNA". It matches the Rfam family "Bacterial small subunit ribosomal RNA", at positions 29 to 524 of the family's 1533-position model. The record is from RNAcentral.